AAAUAACUACGAGUGAAAGCUUAAAAUUUAAAAGACUUGACGGUACUUCACAUCAAUCUAGAGGAGCCUGUCUAAUAACCGAUAAUCCACGAUUAACCCAACCUCCUCUAGCCUAACAGUCUAUAUACCGCCGUCGCCAGCUUACCUUGUAAAAGAAACAAAGCAAGCCCAAUAACAUCACCUCUAAUACGACAGGUCGAGGUGUAACCAAUGAGGAGGACAAGAUGGGCUACAUUUUCUACAACAGAAAAGCAAACGAAUAAACUAUGAAAUUAGAAACUGAAGGCGGAUUUAGAAGUAAGCUAAGAAUAGAACACUUAACCGAAACCAACGCAAUGAAGUGCGC
Molecule: ribosomal RNA, 346 nt
Filed under: Micrurus surinamensis
Lineage: Eukaryota; Metazoa; Chordata; Lepidosauria; Squamata; Elapidae
Description: partial 12S ribosomal RNA
Source: RNAcentral